UACAGAGGUCUCAAGCGUUGUUCGGAUUCAUUGGGCGUAAAGGGUGCGUAGGCGGCGCGGUAAGUCGGGUGUGAAAUCUUGGAGCUUAACUCCGAAACUGCAUUCGAUACUGCCGUGCUUGAGGACUGGAGAGGAGACUGGAAUUUACGGUGUAGCGGUGAAAUGCGUAGAUAUCGUAAGGAACACCAGUGGCGAAGGCGGGUCUCUGGACAGUUCCUGACGCUGAGGCACGAAGGCCAGGGGAGCAAACGGG
This 253-nucleotide ribosomal RNA is filed under the name uncultured bacterium. RNAcentral describes it as "partial 16S ribosomal RNA". It matches the Rfam family "Bacterial small subunit ribosomal RNA", at positions 524 to 776 of the family's 1533-position model. The record is from RNAcentral.